UACGUAGGGGGCAAGCGUUGUUCGGAAUUACUGGGCGUAAAGGGCUCGUAGGCGGCCAACUAAGUCGGAUGUGAAAUCCCCAGGCUUAACCUGGGAAUUGCAUCCGAUACUGGAUGGCUUGAAUCCGGGAGAGGGAUGCGGAAUUCCAGGUGUAGCGGUGAAAUGCGUAGAUAUCUGGAGGAACACCGGUGGCGAAGGCGGCAUCCUGGACCGGCAUUGACGCUGAGGAGCGAAAGCCAGGGGAGCAAACGGG
RNAcentral lists this ribosomal RNA (253 nucleotides) under uncultured bacterium. RNAcentral's name for it is "partial 16S ribosomal RNA". It matches the Rfam family "Bacterial small subunit ribosomal RNA", at positions 524 to 776 of the family's 1533-position model. The record is from RNAcentral.